Molecule: long non-coding RNA, 1182 nt
Organism: Photinus pyralis (common eastern firefly)
Lineage: Eukaryota; Metazoa; Arthropoda; Insecta; Coleoptera; Lampyridae
Exons: 4
Source: RefSeq, a predicted model, not a curated record
AGAUUGAAUGGCGGUAGGAUUAUCCACAAAGGUUUUUCACGGAAGGUUACUCCCAACAAAUGAUAACGCUUGCCUCGGCGCCUUUUGACCACAACCCAAAAAAACGUCGAACCCCAAACGUGAAAAACAUAAACCAUAUAAACCCAAAAAUAAAAGGCUAAAAAAAUAUAUGUAUGAAUAGAACAAACGAUCAGAAAAAAACUUACGACUUGGCAACAAAUCCCUUUUCAAAACACCGUCUAAUCGAACUCAAAUUUCAAAAAACAACUCUUGGUAGCAACAAAUUCUACGGCGUAAUUCGUUUCACCGCAGCCGUCUUUUCGCUUUCGUAGCUAUCAAGGAAGUAUUGGUGCUUAUUUAUUGGAAAUUUUUGAGUUCCUUCAAGGAUUUAUAGUGAUAUAAAAUUGAAUAAACGAGAAAGAUAUAUCAGGAAAAGGUUCAUAUUCGUCGGGGGUAAUCCACCCUGCAUAAAUGUACAACCUACGACGAUGCACACAUUCUCGAGAGCUGACAACCCCGCGAUUUUUUAGAAGACGAACGGUGUCUACGCGGUCUUAAGCCUCAACAUUGGCUACGUAACGGGAUUUUCGUUUUAACUUUCGUCACAAAAGCGUAUGUUGAUAUUUUUGUGUUAUUUAAUACAGUUAGUAAUCUUUGCAUUUCUUUAUACUUUAUUUGUGUUUUGUAUACAACAUUUUAUAUUUUUUAUAAUGUUCCAUCUGUGUUUUCGAAACUGACUUGAUUUAACCUCAAUGCAGAAUCACGUGUUUGAUACCUUUAACUUUUAUUGUUUGAAAUUACAUUCAUUUUGGUAUAAAUGUUUGCUGAAUUUAUUCUUUUUAUGUUUUGAUUUCAUGGUCUUGGUUUCAAAUCAAAUUUAUAGUUUGAUCAUUCAUUUAAAUUUGUGAAAGUUAUCGAAUUUCACGUGUUUGUCAACAAAUGAACGAAAACAAAACGGGCAGGCACUUUCUGCUACCUACGCUCAUGUGUCAAACUUUGAACUCGAGUUGAAAAACUCCACUUUCUUCUCUAGUUGUACAAACAACUAAAAUUACCCGAAAUCGUCAGGAAUCCUUCAUUUUCAUGCCUAAUACUUUUAUCCCAGGUAAUUUUAGUUGCCAUAAGAGAGACACUAAUACGUUAUCUGAUUACCUACUUUAUCUGCGGCUUGUCAUUGUACCG